RNAcentral lists this ribosomal RNA (433 nucleotides) under uncultured bacterium. RNAcentral describes it as "partial 16S ribosomal RNA". It matches the Rfam family "Bacterial small subunit ribosomal RNA", at positions 29 to 507 of the family's 1533-position model. The record is from RNAcentral.
AACGAACGCUGGCGGCAUGCCUAACACAUGCAAGUCGAACGAGACCUUCGGGUCUAGUGGCGCACGGGUGCGUAACGCGUGGGAACCUGCCCUUAGGUUCGGAAUAACUCCCCGAAAGGGGUGCUAAUACCGGAUAAUGUCUUCGGACCAAAGAUUUAUCGCCUUUGGAUGGGCCCGCGUUGGAUUAGCUAGUUGGUAGGGUAAAAGCCUACCAAGGCGACGAUCCAUAGCUGGUCUGAGAGGAUGAUCAGCCACACUGGGACUGAGACACGGCCCAGACUCCUACGGGAGGCAGCAGUGGGGAAUAUUGGACAAUGGGCGAAAGCCUGAUCCAGCAAUGCCGCGUGAGUGAUGAAGGCCUUAGGGUUGUAAAGCUCUUCUACCCGGGAUGAUAAUGACAGUACCGGGAUAAUAAGCUCCGGCUAACUCCGUG